RNAcentral lists this long non-coding RNA (358 nucleotides) under Vigna radiata. Its description in RNAcentral is "long non-coding RNA (VRAD_LNC003449)". The record is from RNAcentral. Lineage: Eukaryota; Viridiplantae; Streptophyta; Magnoliopsida; Fabales; Fabaceae.
AGAAAAGAGAAAGAGAGAUAGAGAGAAAAGAAGAGGAAGAUAAGGAAGAAGAAGAGAAGAGAGAAGAAGAGAAGAGAGAAAAAGAAGAGAAAGAGAAAGAGAGAUUAAAAGAAGAGAGCAAGAGAGAAAAGAGGAAGAAAUAAAAGAAGAGAUAAGAAGACAAAACAUGUUGCACAAAGUUUAUUCAUAAGCAUUGCACAAAGGACAAAAAGAUGUUGUGUGAUAAGAAGAUAUUCGUAGAAUGUUUCCUCGAGCUUUUUACACUAAAAAGGCCAUACAGGCUACAUUUGAAAGAAAACACUGAUAAAGCAUUGUCACACUACAACGUAGACCCGAGUUUGACCAGCUACCUUUAAGG